Molecule: ribosomal RNA, 497 nt
Filed under: uncultured bacterium
Lineage: Bacteria
Description: partial 16S ribosomal RNA
Rfam family: Bacterial small subunit ribosomal RNA
Source: RNAcentral
GAUGAACGCUGGCGGCGUGCCUAAUACAUGCAAGUCGAGCGAACAGACGAGGAGCUUGCUCCUCUGACGUUAGCGGCGGACGGGUGAGUAACACGUGUAUAACCUACCUAUAAGACUGGUAUAACUUCGGGAAACCGGAGCUAAUACCGGAUAAUAUAUUGAACCGCAUGGUUCAAUAGUGAAAGACGGUUUUGCUGUCACUUAUAGAUGGAUCCGCGCCGCAUUAGCUAGUUGGUAAGGUAACGGCUUACCAAGGCAACGAUGCGUAGCCGAACUGAGAGAGUGAUAGGCCACACUGGAGCUGAGACACGGUCCAGACUCCUACGGUAGGCAGCAGUAGGGAAUCUUCCGCAAUGGGCGGAAGCAUGACGGAGCAACGCCGCGUGAAUGAUGAAGGUCUUCGGAUCGUAAAACUCUGUUAUUAGGGAAGAACAACUGUGUAAGUAACUAUGCACGUAUUGACGGUACCUAAUCAGAAAGCCACGGCUAACUACGUG